GGCUACCAUGCAAGUCGAGCGGAAUGCACAGGAGCGUGUGCUACCUGUGCAUUUAGCGGCGGACCGGUGAGGAAUGCCGACGAAUCUGCCUGGAAAUGGGGGAUAACGUUCCGAAAGGAACGCUAAUACCGCACACGUCCUACAGAAGAAACCGAGGGACCUUCCGGCCUUGCGCUAUCAGAUGAGCCUACGUCGGAUUAGCUAGUUGGUGAGGUAAUGGCUCACCAAGGCGACGAUCCGUAACUGAUCUGAGAGGAUGAUCAGUCACACUGGAACUGAGACACGGUCCAGACUCCUACGGGAGGCAGCAGUGGGGAAUAUUGGACAAUGGGCGAAAGCCUGAUCCAGCCAUGCCGCGUGUGUGAAGAAGGUCUUCGGAUUGUAAAGCACUUUAAGUUGGGAGGAAGGGCAUUAUCCUAAUACGGUAGUGUUUUGACGUUACCGACAGAAUAAGCACCGGCUAACUUACGUGCCAGCAGCCGC
This 483-nucleotide ribosomal RNA is filed under the name uncultured Pseudomonas sp. RNAcentral's name for it is "bacterial SSU rRNA". It matches the Rfam family "Bacterial small subunit ribosomal RNA", at positions 45 to 518 of the family's 1533-position model. Lineage: Bacteria; Pseudomonadati; Pseudomonadota; Gammaproteobacteria; Pseudomonadales; Pseudomonadaceae. The record is from RNAcentral.